UGGGGAAUAUUGCACAAUGGGCGCAAGCCUGAUGCAGCAACGCCGCGUGAGGGAUGAAGGCCUUCGGGUUGUAAACCUCUUUUAGUAAGGAAGAAGCUUUAGGGUGACGGUACUUGCAGAAAAAGCACCGGCUAACUACGUGCCAGCAGCCGCGGUAAUACGUAGGGUGCAAGCGUUGUCCGGAAUUAUUGGGCGUAAAGAGCUCGUAGGCGGUUUGUCGCGUCUGCUGUGAAAUCCCGGGGCUCAACCCCGGGCCUGCAGUGGGUACGGGCAGACUAGAGUGCGGUAGGGGAGAUUGGAAUUCCUGGUGUAGCGGUGGAAUGCGCAGAUAUCAGGAGGAACACCAAUGGCGAAGGCAGAUCUCUGGGCCGUUACUGACGCUGAGGAGCGAAAGCAUGGGGAGCGAACAGG
This 411-nucleotide ribosomal RNA is filed under the name uncultured prokaryote. Its description in RNAcentral is "bacterial SSU rRNA". It matches the Rfam family "Bacterial small subunit ribosomal RNA", at positions 355 to 776 of the family's 1533-position model. The record is from RNAcentral. RNAcentral also lists the same sequence under 1 other name.